This 402-nucleotide ribosomal RNA is filed under the name bacterium. Its description in RNAcentral is "partial 16S ribosomal RNA". It matches the Rfam family "Bacterial small subunit ribosomal RNA", at positions 355 to 776 of the family's 1533-position model. The record is from RNAcentral.
UGGGGAAUUUUGCACAAUGGGGGAAACCCUGAUGCAGCGACGCCGCGUGAUUUAGAAGGCCUUCGGGUUGUAAAAAUCUUUUCUAUGGGAAGAAAAUGACAGUACCAUAGGAAUAAGGACCGGCUAAUUACGUGCCAGCAGCCGCGGUAAUACGUAAGGUCCGAGCGUUGUCCGGAAUCAUUGGGCGUAAAGGGUACGUAGGCGGGUAAGCAAGUUAGAAGUGAAAUCCUAUAGCUCAACUAUAGUAAGCUUUUAAAACUGAUCAUCUUGAUGUAUGGAAGGGAAAGUGGAAUUCCUAGUGUAGCGGUGAAAUGCGCAGAUAUUAGGAGGAAUACCGGUGGCGAAGGCGACUUUCUGGCCAUAACCUGACGCUGAGGUACGAAAGCGUGGGUAGCAAACAGG